This 378-nucleotide unclassified non-coding RNA is filed under the name plant metagenome. Its description in RNAcentral is "partial contains 5.8S ribosomal RNA, internal transcribed spacer 2, and large subunit ribosomal RNA". The stretch from base 1 to 105 matches the Rfam family "5.8S ribosomal RNA", at positions 50 to 154 of the family's 154-position model. The record is from RNAcentral.
GAAAUGCGAUAAGUAAUGUGAAUUGCAGAAUUCAGUGAAUCAUCGAAUCUUUGAACGCACCUUGCGCUCCUUGGUAUUCCUUGGAGCAUGCCUGUUUGAGUAUCAUGAAAUCUUCAAAGUAAAUCUUUUGUUAACUCAAUUGGUUUCUACUUUGGUAUUGGAGGUCUUUGCAGCUUCACACCUGCUCCUCUUUGUUCAUUAGCUGGAUCUCAGUGUUAUGCUUGGUUCCACUCGGCGUGAUAAGUUAUCUAUCGCUGAGGACACUGUAAAAGGUGGCCAAGGUAAAUGCAGAUGAACCGCUUCUAAUAGUCCAUUGACUUGGACAAUACUUUUAUGAUCUGAUCUCGAAUCAGGUAGAAAUACCCGCUGAACUUAGGC